This 370-nucleotide ribosomal RNA is filed under the name Bacillus velezensis. Its description in RNAcentral is "bacterial SSU rRNA". It matches the Rfam family "Bacterial small subunit ribosomal RNA", at positions 528 to 896 of the family's 1533-position model. The record is from RNAcentral. Lineage: Bacteria; Bacillati; Bacillota; Bacilli; Caryophanales; Bacillaceae.
UAGGUGGCAAGCGUUGUCCGGAAUUAUUGGGCGUAAAGGGCUCGCAGGCGGUUUCUUAAGUCUGAUGUGAAAGCCCCCGGCUCAACCGGGGAGGGUCAUUGGAAACUGGGGAACUUGAGUGCAGAAGAGGAGAGUGGAAUUCCACGUGUAGCGGUGAAAUGCGUAGAGAUGGGGAGGAACACCAGUGGCGAAGGCGACUCUCUGGUCUGUAACUGACGCUGAGGAGCGAAAGCGUGGGGAGCGAACAGGAUUAGAUACCCUGGUAGUCCACGCCGUAAACGAUGAGUGCUAAGUGUUAGGGGGUUUCCGCCCCUUAGUGCUGCAGCUAACGCAUUAAGCACUCCGCCUGGGGAGUACGGUCGCAAGACUG